RNAcentral lists this long non-coding RNA (256 nucleotides) under Lathyrus oleraceus (garden pea). Its description in RNAcentral is "Pisum sativum (pea) long non-coding RNA (PSAT_LNC021690)". The record is from RNAcentral. Lineage: Eukaryota; Viridiplantae; Streptophyta; Magnoliopsida; Fabales; Fabaceae.
CCCUCCAUACAAAAUCGGUUCUACUACACAAAAAAAAAUAGAUACGCAAAUGAUUCUUCCAUCCUAUCAAAAAGUGGACACAGGUUUCCAUUCAAAACAUGUGACAUUCCUCUAUUACAAGUUCACUUAUAGUGGGUAAACAAUUCAAAAUCCAACCAAACAACUUCACUUUUCUCAUAACAUUUACUUUCCAAACCCAACUCAGCUCUUUUAAACUCUCCUUAUUCAAUACCAAAUUUUGGGACUUCAAAUCAUA